UUUUAAGUGAAUCUCUAUUGUAGGUUAAAGCCGCUGGGAAGUCAAAGAAGAAGAAUGGGUCUAUCUUGCUUGAUUGGCGAUUGCUAUCGGCUGCUGGGAAGUCAAAGAAGAAGAAGCACGAGAUCACCAAGAAGCACAGCCACAUUUGGACCCAUUCGUUGUCUGCAAAAGCAGGAGAUUUCUUGGUCCUUUCCAACUUGAUGGCAG
This is a long non-coding RNA of Carya illinoinensis, 207 nucleotides long. RefSeq lists it as uncharacterized. The transcript has 3 exons. The record is from RefSeq and is a predicted model, not a curated record. NCBI's taxonomy places the organism in Eukaryota, Viridiplantae, Streptophyta, Magnoliopsida, Fagales, Juglandaceae.